GAUGAACGCUGGCGGCGUGCCUAACACAUGCAAGUCGAACGAAGCACUUAAGACAGAUUUCUUAGGAAUGAAGUUUUAUGUGACUGAGUGGCGGACGGGUGAGUAACGCGUGGGUAACCUGCCUUAUACAGGGGGAUAACAGUUAGAAAUGACUGCUAAUACCGCAUAAGCGCACAGUACCGCAUGGUACCGUGUGAAAAACUCCGGUGGUAUAAGAUGGACCCGCGUCUGAUUAGCUAGUUGGUGGGGUAACGGCCUACCAAGGCGACGAUCAGUAGCCGGCCUGAGAGGGUGAACGGCCACAUUGGAACUGAGACACGGUCCAA
RNAcentral lists this ribosomal RNA (326 nucleotides) under uncultured bacterium. RNAcentral describes it as "bacterial SSU rRNA". It matches the Rfam family "Bacterial small subunit ribosomal RNA", at positions 28 to 334 of the family's 1533-position model. The record is from RNAcentral.